This 449-nucleotide ribosomal RNA is filed under the name uncultured bacterium. Its description in RNAcentral is "partial 16S ribosomal RNA". It matches the Rfam family "Bacterial small subunit ribosomal RNA", at positions 29 to 523 of the family's 1533-position model. The record is from RNAcentral.
AGCGAACGCUGGCGGCAGGCUUAACACAUGCAAGUCGAGCGGACCUUUCGGGGUCAGCGGCGGACGGGUGAGUAACGCGUGGGAACGUGCCUUCCGGUUCGGAAUAACCCUGGGAAACUAGGGCUAAUACCGGAUACGCCCUUAUGGGGAAAGGUUCACUGCCGGAAGAUCGGCCCGCGUCUGAUUAGCUAGUUGGUGGGGUAACGGCCUACCAAGGCGACGAUCAGUAGCUGGUCUGAGAGGAUGAUCAGCCACACUGGGACUGAGACACGGCCCAGACUCCUACGGGAGGCAGCAGUGGGGAAUAUUGGACAAUGGGCGCAAGCCUGAUCCAGCCAUGCCGCGUGAGUGAUGAAGGCCUUAGGGUUGUAAAGCUCUUUUAUCCGGGACGAUAAUGACGGUACCGGAGGAAUAAGCCCCGGCUAACUUCGUGCCAGCCGCCGCGGUAA